GACCUCGUAGCUCAGAUGGCUAGAGCGUUGGCUGUACGUAGGCCUUCCCCUUGCUGGCGUGGGCUCGAAUCCCACCGAGGCCG
This 83-nucleotide transfer RNA is filed under the name Schistocephalus solidus. It matches the Rfam family "tRNA". From Rfam's summary of the family: Transfer RNA (tRNA) molecules are approximately 80 nucleotides in length. Their secondary structure includes four short double-helical elements and three loops (D, anti-codon, and T loops). Further hydrogen bonds mediate the characteristic L-shaped molecular structure. tRNAs have two regions of fundamental functional importance: the anti-codon, which is responsible for specific mRNA codon recognition, and the 3' end, to which the tRNAs corresponding amino acid is attached (by aminoacyl-tRNA synthetases). tRNAs cope with the degeneracy of the genetic code in two manners: having more than one tRNA (with a specific anti-codon) for a particular amino acid; and 'wobble' base-pairing, i.e. permitting non-standard base-pairing at the 3rd anti-codon position. The record is from Rfam by way of RNAcentral. Lineage: Eukaryota; Metazoa; Platyhelminthes; Cestoda; Diphyllobothriidea; Diphyllobothriidae.